AUUGAACGCUGGCGGCAGGCCUAACACAUGCAAGUCGAGCGGAUGAAGGGAGCUUGCUCCUGGAUUCAGCGGCGGACGGGUGAGUAAUGCCUAGGAAUCUGCCUGGUAGUGGGGGAUAACGUCCGGAAACGGGCGCUAAUACCGCAUACGUCCUGAGGGAGAAAGUGGGGGAUCUUCGGACCUCACGCUAUCAGAUGAGCCUAGGUCGGAUUAGCUAGUUGGUGGGGUAAAGGCCUACCAAGGCGACGAUCCGUAACUGGUCUGAGAGGAUGAUCAGUCACACGGGAACUGAGACACGGUCCAGACUCCUACGGUAGGCAGCAGUGGGGAAUAUUGGGCAAUGGUCGAAAGCCUGAUCCAGCCAUGCCGCGUGUGUGAAGAAGGUCUUCGGAUUGUAAAGCACUUUAUGUUGUGAGGAAGGGCAGUAAGUUGAUACCUUGCUGUUUUGACGUUACCAACAGAAUAAGCACCGGCUAACUUCGUG
Molecule: ribosomal RNA, 484 nt
Filed under: uncultured bacterium
Lineage: Bacteria
Description: partial 16S ribosomal RNA
Rfam family: Bacterial small subunit ribosomal RNA
Source: RNAcentral